This 102-nucleotide non-coding RNA is filed under the name Bacillus sp. (in: firmicutes). RNAcentral's name for it is "Bacillus sp. Guanine sequence". It matches the Rfam family "Purine riboswitch aptamer". Rfam says of the family: Riboswitches are metabolite binding domains within certain messenger RNAs that serve as precision sensors for their corresponding targets. Allosteric rearrangement of mRNA structure is mediated by ligand binding, and this results in modulation of gene expression. RNAcentral also lists the same sequence under 1 other name. Lineage: Bacteria; Bacillati; Bacillota; Bacilli; Caryophanales; Bacillaceae. The record is from RNAcentral.
AUGAAAUAUAACAUUAACUCUUGUAUAAGCUCAUUAAUCGGUUUGAGCGUCUCGACCAGGCAACCGUAAUUGCCCCAGGCUACAAGAGGCCGCAUGAGUCGA